CUGUGGCUGCUUGUGGGAAGAUCAUUGUUGGUAAUGGAGCAUCAGUCCACUUAACGAGUCCCACUGUGUUCUAUCUGGGAGCAGCUUUGGGAAUCUGUGUGAUGGUGAUCUGCAUUCAAGCCAUUCAAAUCUGCAGGGGGAGAGAUCAUGAUUCGGUGGUGGAGAACAAAGCCAGUCAGGUACUACAUGUUCUCUCAUCCACACUGACGCUGUUUAAUUCUUAUAGAGUUCUCUAAUCUUCAGCCUUUAAUAUUUCAUAUUCAUCUCUACAGA
This is a long non-coding RNA of Pygocentrus nattereri (red-bellied piranha), 273 nucleotides long. RefSeq lists it as uncharacterized. The transcript has 3 exons. The record is from RefSeq and is a predicted model, not a curated record. Lineage: Eukaryota; Metazoa; Chordata; Actinopteri; Characiformes; Serrasalmidae.